RNAcentral lists this ribosomal RNA (397 nucleotides) under uncultured bacterium. Its description in RNAcentral is "partial 16S ribosomal RNA". It matches the Rfam family "Bacterial small subunit ribosomal RNA", at positions 523 to 918 of the family's 1533-position model. The record is from RNAcentral.
AUACGUAGGGGGCGAGCGUUGUCCGGAAUGAUUGGGCGUAAAGGGCGCGUAGGCGGCCCGGUAAGUCUGGAGUGAAAGUCCUGUUUUUAAGAUGGGAAUUGCUUUGGAUACUGUCGGGCUUGAGUGCAGGAGAGGUAAGUGGAAUUCCCAGUGUAGCGGUGAAAUGCGUAGAGAUUGGGAGGAACACCAGUGGCGAAGGCGACUUACUGGAAUGUAACUGACGCUGAGGCGCGAAAGUGUGGGGAGCAAACAGGAUUAGAUACCCGGGUAGUCCACACUGUAAACGAUGAAUGCUAGGUGUAGGGGGUAUCGACCCCUUCUGUGCCGCAGUCAACACAAUAAGCAUUCCGCCUGGGGAGUACGGCCGCAAGGUUGAAACUCAAAUGAAUUGACGGGG